GUGAAUCAUCGAAUUUUUGAACGCAAAUUGCACCCUCUUCGAAGAUUAUGCCUGUUUGUGGGUCAGCCUCAAAAAAAUCGACAUAGUCGCUGUUGCGCGGUGACAUUCGUCGGAACUUGGGUCAUCUUAAACCUUUGGGUUUUAUGCGGCUUCAAAUUCUCUUUACGAUUCCACGAAGUUAUCUAAGAUUUACGUCUUA
Molecule: unclassified non-coding RNA, 199 nt
Filed under: Glomus sp.
Lineage: Eukaryota; Fungi; Glomeromycota; Glomeromycetes; Glomerales; Glomeraceae
Description: partial contains 5.8S ribosomal RNA and internal transcribed spacer 2
Source: RNAcentral